RNAcentral lists this transfer RNA (72 nucleotides) under Dictyocaulus viviparus (bovine lungworm). It matches the Rfam family "tRNA". Rfam says of the family: Transfer RNA (tRNA) molecules are approximately 80 nucleotides in length. Their secondary structure includes four short double-helical elements and three loops (D, anti-codon, and T loops). Lineage: Eukaryota; Metazoa; Nematoda; Chromadorea; Rhabditida; Metastrongylidae. The record is from Rfam by way of RNAcentral.
GCCUCGGUGGUGUAAUGGAAUGCACGGCAGACCGGGUAUCUGUAGGUGCGGGUACGAGUCCUGCCUGAGAUC